Molecule: unclassified non-coding RNA, 572 nt
Filed under: Hevea brasiliensis (rubber tree)
Lineage: Eukaryota; Viridiplantae; Streptophyta; Magnoliopsida; Malpighiales; Euphorbiaceae
Source: RNAcentral
GCCCUACCCACAUGAAGAUCACAAUUCACAACUACACAACAAAUUAAAACCCUUUUUUAGUAAUCACUCCAUUUUUCCUAAGAAAAAAAAAAUCAUGUCUUGCUGUGGAGGAAGCUGUGGCUGUGGAUCUGGCUGCAAGUGCGGCAGUGGCUGUGGAGGAUGUGGGAUGUACCCCGACUUGGAGAGCACCACUACCUUUACCAUCAUUGAGGGUGUUGCACCUAUGAAGAACUAUGGAGUGGCUGAGAAAGCAACAGAAGGAGGAAAUGGCUGCAAAUGUGGAUCAAACUGCACAUGUGACCCUUGCAACUGUUGAGACACCAAAAUGUCUCUUUUUCUAUUAAUUAUUACUACUGUGUGUUUUAAUAAAAUUACUAAGCCAAUUGAACUGACCAUCUGCAAAUCUUUUUUACAAAGGUUUGUCUGAUGUUUAGUUCAUGGCUUUUUAUGUUUGGUUGUCUAUGUUCUCAAUUAGUUAUAUUUGUAUUGAAGGAAGUUUAUUUGGGCUUGUAAUUCACAUCUUUAUCAAUAUGAAAUACAAGUUGGCUCCUCCUUUUUACUAUGUCUAUUUU